RNAcentral lists this ribosomal RNA (429 nucleotides) under Gemmatimonadota bacterium. RNAcentral's name for it is "Gemmatimonadetes bacterium partial 16S ribosomal RNA". It matches the Rfam family "Bacterial small subunit ribosomal RNA", at positions 355 to 776 of the family's 1533-position model. The record is from RNAcentral. Lineage: Bacteria; Pseudomonadati; Gemmatimonadota.
UAGGGAAUCUUCGGCAAUGGACGAAAGUCUGACCGAGCAACGCCGCGUGAGUGAAGAAGGUUUUCGGAUCGUAAAACUCUGUUGUUAGAGAAGAACAAGGACGUUAGUAACUGAACGUCCCCUGACGGUAUCUAACCAGAAAGCCACGGCUAACUACGUGCCAGCAGCCGCGGUAAUACGUAGGUGGCAAGCGUUGUCCGGAUUUAUUGGGCGUAAAGCGAGCGCAGGCGGUUUCUUAAGUCUGAUGUGAAAGCCCCCGGCUCAACCGGGGAGGGUCAUUGGAAACUGGGAGACUUGAGUGCAGAAGAGGAGAGUGGAAUUCCAUGUGUAGCGGUGAAAUGCGUAGAUAUAUGGAGGAACACCAGUGGCGAAGGCGGCUCUCUGGUCUGUAACUGAAGCUGAGGCUAGAAAGCGUGGGGAGCAAACAGG